AAUCAACGCUGGCGGCGUGCCUCAGACAUGCAAGUCGAACGCGAAAGGUUCCUUCGGGAGCCGAGUAGAGUGGCGCUCGGGUGAGUAACACGUAGGUAAUUUGCCUUUGGGUGGGGAAUAACAAUCGGAAACGGUUGCUAAUACCGCAUAAUGCAGCGGCUCGACAUCGAGACAGUUGUUAAAGCGGGGGAUCCUUCGGGACCUCGCGCCUAAAGAGAAGCCUGCGGCGGAUUAGCAGUUGGUGAGGUAAUGGCUCACCAAGGCGACGAUCCGUAACCGGCCUGAGAGGGCGGACGGUCACAC
RNAcentral lists this ribosomal RNA (303 nucleotides) under uncultured bacterium. Its description in RNAcentral is "bacterial SSU rRNA". It matches the Rfam family "Bacterial small subunit ribosomal RNA", at positions 32 to 313 of the family's 1533-position model. The record is from RNAcentral.